AAUCAGCAAGAAUACUGCCCCA
RNAcentral lists this microRNA (22 nucleotides) under Anolis carolinensis (green anole). RNAcentral's name for it is "aca-miR-34b-3p". Its record names the gene aca-miR-34b-3p. The record is from miRBase by way of RNAcentral. Lineage: Eukaryota; Metazoa; Chordata; Lepidosauria; Squamata; Anolidae.